UACGGAGGGUGCGAGCGUUAAUCGGAAUUACUGGGCGUAAAGCGCGCGUAGGUGGCUAUGUCAGUCGGAUGUGAAAGCCCUGGGCUUAACCUGGGAAUUGCAUUCGAUACUGCAUGGCUAGAGUAUAGUAGAGGGUAGUGGAAUUCCAGGUGUAGCGGUGAAAUGCGUAGAUAUCUGGAGGAACAUCAGUGGCGAAGGCGGCUACCUGGACUAAUACUGACACUGAGGUGCGAAAGCGUGGGGAGCAAAC
RNAcentral lists this ribosomal RNA (250 nucleotides) under uncultured bacterium. Its description in RNAcentral is "partial 16S ribosomal RNA". It matches the Rfam family "Bacterial small subunit ribosomal RNA", at positions 524 to 773 of the family's 1533-position model. The record is from RNAcentral.